UCGGACGCGCCGCUGCGCAGCUCCCCGGCGACCACGCCCUUGAGCUCGAGCUUGGACGUGACGUACACGUACCUCGCGCUGCCCGGGGCGUUGCCGUUGGCGGCCGCCGCGCGCGCCAGCGCGGGCAUCAUCAGCCUCGCCAGGUACGUGGGACCCAGCGUGUUGACCUGCCACGUUCGCUCUCUGCCCUGCUCCGCGACGCCGUACUCCUUGAACAUGGCCCCGGCGUUGUUCACCAGGAUGUCCACGAGCUCCUCCGGGCCGUUGAAGCCGUCCGCGAACUCCCGAACGGACGCCAGGCUGGCGAGGUCGAGCGUUCGGCACUCCACGUUGUCGUUGCCCGUCGAUGCGAUGAUGUCCCGAGCCGCCGCGGC
This 374-nucleotide long non-coding RNA is filed under the name Micromonas commoda. RNAcentral describes it as "long non-coding RNA (MCOM_LNC000407)". Lineage: Eukaryota; Viridiplantae; Chlorophyta; Mamiellophyceae; Mamiellales; Mamiellaceae. The record is from RNAcentral.